Molecule: transfer RNA, 69 nt
Organism: Theileria parva strain Muguga
Lineage: Eukaryota; Apicomplexa; Aconoidasida; Piroplasmida; Theileriidae
Rfam family: tRNA
About the family: Transfer RNA (tRNA) molecules are approximately 80 nucleotides in length. Their secondary structure includes four short double-helical elements and three loops (D, anti-codon, and T loops). Further hydrogen bonds mediate the characteristic L-shaped molecular structure. tRNAs have two regions of fundamental functional importance: the anti-codon, which is responsible for specific mRNA codon recognition, and the 3' end, to which the tRNAs corresponding amino acid is attached (by aminoacyl-tRNA synthetases). tRNAs cope with the degeneracy of the genetic code in two manners: having more than one tRNA (with a specific anti-codon) for a particular amino acid; and 'wobble' base-pairing, i.e. permitting non-standard base-pairing at the 3rd anti-codon position.
Source: Rfam
AUAUAUAUAAUUUAACUAAAAUAUUAAUUUUCCGAAUUAAUUUUGAGGGUUAGAAUCCCUCUAUAUAUA